Molecule: ribosomal RNA, 495 nt
Filed under: uncultured bacterium
Lineage: Bacteria
Description: partial 16S ribosomal RNA
Rfam family: Bacterial small subunit ribosomal RNA
Source: RNAcentral
GAUGAACGCUGGCGGCGUGCCUAAUACAUGCCAGUAGAACGCUGAAGGAGGAGCUUGCUCUUCUGGAUGAGUUGCGAACGGGUGAGUAACGCGUAGGUAACCUGCCUGGUAGCGGGGGAUAACUAUUGGAAACGAUAGCUAAUACCGCAUGACAACAGUUAUUGCAUGAUAACUGUUUAAAAGGGGCAACUGCUCCACUACCAGAUGGACCUGCGUUGUAUUAGCUAGUUGGUGAGGUAACGGCUCACCAAGGCGACGAUACAUAGCCGACCUGAGAGGGGGAUCGGCCACACUGGGACUGAGACACGGCCCAGACUCCUACGGGAGGCAGCAGUAGGGAAUCUUCGGCAAUGGACGGAAGUCUGACCGAGCAACGCCGCGUGAGUGAAGAAGGUUUUCGGAUCGUAAAGCUCUGUUGUAAGAGAAGAACGAGUGUGAGAGUGGAAAGUUCACACUGUGACGGUAUCUUACCAGAAAGGGACGGCUAACUACGUG